This 73-nucleotide transfer RNA is filed under the name Camelus ferus (Wild Bactrian camel). It matches the Rfam family "tRNA". From Rfam's summary of the family: Transfer RNA (tRNA) molecules are approximately 80 nucleotides in length. Their secondary structure includes four short double-helical elements and three loops (D, anti-codon, and T loops). Further hydrogen bonds mediate the characteristic L-shaped molecular structure. tRNAs have two regions of fundamental functional importance: the anti-codon, which is responsible for specific mRNA codon recognition, and the 3' end, to which the tRNAs corresponding amino acid is attached (by aminoacyl-tRNA synthetases). tRNAs cope with the degeneracy of the genetic code in two manners: having more than one tRNA (with a specific anti-codon) for a particular amino acid; and 'wobble' base-pairing, i.e. permitting non-standard base-pairing at the 3rd anti-codon position. The record is from Rfam by way of RNAcentral. Lineage: Eukaryota; Metazoa; Chordata; Mammalia; Artiodactyla; Camelidae.
GAGGGUAUGGCUCAAGUGGUAGAGCACAUGCUUAGCAUACACAAGGUGCUGGGUUCAAUCCCCAGUGCCUCCA